This 451-nucleotide ribosomal RNA is filed under the name uncultured organism. RNAcentral describes it as "partial 16S ribosomal RNA". It matches the Rfam family "Bacterial small subunit ribosomal RNA", at positions 329 to 797 of the family's 1533-position model. The record is from RNAcentral.
ACGUACACUCCUGCGGGAGGCAGCAGUGGGGAAUAUUGGACAAUGGGCGCAAGCCUGAUCCAGCCAUGCCGCGUGAGUGAUGAAGGCCCUAGGGUUGUAAAGCUCUUUCACCGGUGAAGAUAAUGACGGUAACCGGAGAAGAAGCCCCGGCUAACUUCGUGCCAGCAGCCGCGGUAAUACGAAGGGGGCUAGCGUUGUUCGGAUUUACUGGGCGUAAAGCGCACGUAGGCGGACUAUUAAGUCAGGGGUGAAAUCCCGGGGCUCAACCCCGGAACUGCCUUUGAUACUGGUAGUCUUGAGUUCGAGAGAGGUGAGUGGAAUUCCGAGUGUAGAGGUGAAAUUCGUAGAUAUUCGGAGGAACACCAGUGGCGAAGGCGGCUCACUGGCUCGAUACUGACGCUGAGGUGCGAAAGCGUGGGGAGCAAACAGUAUUAGAUACCCCGGUAGUCCC